Molecule: ribosomal RNA, 468 nt
Filed under: uncultured bacterium
Lineage: Bacteria
Description: partial 16S ribosomal RNA
Rfam family: Bacterial small subunit ribosomal RNA
Source: RNAcentral
GACGAACGCUGGCGGCGUGCUUAACACAUGCAAGUCGAACGGAAAGGCCCUGCUUUUGUGGGGUGCUCGAGUGGCGAACGGGUGAGUAACACGUGAGUAACCUGCCCUUGACUUUGGGAUAACUUCAGGAAACUGGGGCUAAUACCGGAUAGGAGCUCCUGCUGCAUGGUGGGGGUUGGAAAGUUUCGGCGGUUGGGGAUGGACUCGCGGCUUAUCAGCUUGUUGGUGGGGUAGUGGCUUACCAAGGCUUUGACGGGUAGCCGGCCUGAGAGGGUGACCGGCCACAUUGGGACUGAGAUACGGCCCAGACUCCUACAGGAGGCAGCAGUGGGGAAUAUUACACAAUGGGCGGAAGCCUGAUGCAGCAACGCCGCGUGCGGGAUGACGGCCUUCGGGUUGUAAACCGCUUUCGCCUGUGACGAAGCGUGAGUGACGGUAAUGGGUAAAGAAGCACCGGCUAACUACGUG